RNAcentral lists this ribosomal RNA (314 nucleotides) under Podarcis peloponnesiacus (Peloponnese wall lizard). Its description in RNAcentral is "partial large subunit ribosomal RNA". It matches the Rfam family "Bacterial large subunit ribosomal RNA", at positions 2027 to 2540 of the family's 2925-position model. The record is from RNAcentral. Lineage: Eukaryota; Metazoa; Chordata; Lepidosauria; Squamata; Lacertidae.
GACUGGCCAAUGAAAUUGAUCCUUCAGUACAAAAGCUGAAAUUAACCCAUAAGACGAGAAGACCCUGUGGAGCUUCAAAACCAAAACCACCAAACAUGCUUCCUGGUUUUUUAGUUGGGGCGACUUUGGAGCAAAAAAAACCCUCCAAAACAUAAAUCCAUUUAUUAAGACUAACACAUCAAAAAUAAUAUUAUAGACCCAGCAGUACCUAUUUACUGCCUGACCAAUGAACCAAGUUACCCCAGGGAUAACAGCGCCAUCCUCUUCUAGAGUCCCUAUCGACAAGAGGGUUUACGACCUCGAUGUUGGAUCAG